UUUGUUGAAGGUCCUGUGUGACAAAGCGAAAAAAUGGCGAUUAGAAACCACGUUGCAUGCUUCAAGAGUCGUCUAACGAGCAUAUUGCUCGCCUUCGACUUCGAUGAUUGCUUACCAUAUCUGGGAUGAUCAACCGACACGGCAGGGCUAGCGGUGUAAUCGAAUGCUGAUACACCAGCGCAGACAGUGAGGUGAACACGGGCUCGUUGGCGCAGCCCUUCAACCGGACGCCCCG
Anopheles stephensi (Asian malaria mosquito) is the source of this 235-nucleotide long non-coding RNA. RefSeq lists it as uncharacterized. The record is from RefSeq and is a predicted model, not a curated record. NCBI's taxonomy places the organism in Eukaryota, Metazoa, Arthropoda, Insecta, Diptera, Culicidae. The transcript is spliced from 2 exons.